This 297-nucleotide unclassified non-coding RNA is filed under the name uncultured fungus. Its description in RNAcentral is "sequence contains ITS1". The stretch from base 1 to 105 matches the Rfam family "5.8S ribosomal RNA", at positions 50 to 154 of the family's 154-position model. Lineage: Eukaryota; Fungi. The record is from RNAcentral.
GAAAUGCGAUAAGUAAUGUGAAUUGCAGAAUUCAGUGAAUCAUCGAAUCUUUGAACGCACAUUGCGCCCUCUGGUAUUCCGGGGGGCAUGCCUGUUCGAGCGUCAUUAUAACCACUCAAGCUCUCGCUUGGUAUUGGGGUUCGCGGUUUCGCGGCUCCUAAAAUCAGUGGCGGUGCCUGUCGGCUCUACGCGUAGUAAUACUCCUCGCCAUUGAGUCCGGCUGGUCUACUUGCCAGCAACCCCUAAUUUCUUUUACAGGUUGACCUCGGAUCAGGUAGGGAUACCCGCUGAACUUAA